GCCGGGCACGGUGGCACGUGCCUGUGCUCCCAGCUACUCGGGAGGCUGAGAUGGGAGAACUGCUUGAGCCCAGGAGUUCUGGGCUGUAGUGCGCUAUGCCAAUCGGGUGUUUGCACUAAGUUCGGCAUCAAUAUGGUGACCUCCAGGGAGUGGGAGACCCCCAGGUUGCCUAAGGAGGGGUAAACCGGCCCAGGUCAGAAACAGAGCAGGUCAAAACUCCCGUGCUGAUCAGUAGUGGGAUCGUGCCUGUGAAUAGCCACUGCACUCCAGCCUGGGCAACAUAGCGAGACCUUAA
RNAcentral lists this signal recognition particle RNA (295 nucleotides) under Saimiri boliviensis boliviensis (Bolivian squirrel monkey). RNAcentral's name for it is "Metazoan signal recognition particle RNA (ENSSBOG00000003008.1)". It matches the Rfam family "Metazoan signal recognition particle RNA". Rfam says of the family: The signal recognition particle (SRP) is a universally conserved ribonucleoprotein. It is involved in the co-translational targeting of proteins to membranes. The eukaryotic SRP consists of a 300-nucleotide 7S RNA and six proteins: SRPs 72, 68, 54, 19, 14, and 9. Lineage: Eukaryota; Metazoa; Chordata; Mammalia; Primates; Cebidae. The record is from RNAcentral.